Molecule: ribosomal RNA, 496 nt
Filed under: uncultured bacterium
Lineage: Bacteria
Description: partial 16S ribosomal RNA
Rfam family: Bacterial small subunit ribosomal RNA
Source: RNAcentral
GAUGAACGCUGGCGGCGUGCCUAAUACAUGCAAGUCGAGCGAACAGACGAGGAGCUUGCUCCUCUGACGUUAGCGGCGGACGGGUGAGUAACACGUGGAUAACCUACCUAUAAGACUGGGAUAACUUCGGGAAACCGGAGCUAAUACCGGAUAAUAUAUUGAACCGCAUGGUUCAAUAGUGAAAGACGGUUUUGCUGUCACUUAUAGAUGGAUCCGCGCCGCAUUAGCUAGUUGGUAAGGUAACGGCUUACCAAGGCGACGAUGCGUAGCCGACCUGAGAGGGGGUUCGGCCACACUGGAACUGAGACGCGGUCCAGACUCCUACGGGAGGCAGCAGUAGGGAAUCUUCCGCAAUGGGCGAAAGCCUGACGGAGCAACGCCGCGUGAGUGAUGAAGGUCUGCGGAUCGUAAAACUCUGUUAUUAGGGAAGAACAAAUGUGUAAGUAACUAUGCACGUCUUGACGGUACCUAAUCAGAAAGCCACGGCUAACUACGU